This 492-nucleotide ribosomal RNA is filed under the name uncultured bacterium. Its description in RNAcentral is "partial 16S ribosomal RNA". It matches the Rfam family "Bacterial small subunit ribosomal RNA", at positions 29 to 507 of the family's 1533-position model. The record is from RNAcentral.
AGUGAACGCUGGCGGUAGGCCUAACACAUGCAAGUCGAACGGAAGCACGGUAAGAGCUUGCUCUUACGGGUGGCGAGUGGCGGACGGGUGAGGAAUACAUCGGAAUCUACUUUUUCGUGGGGGAUAACGUAGGGAAACUUACGCUAAUACCGCAUACGACCUACGGGUGAAAGCAGGGGAUCUUCGGACCUUGCGCGAUUGAAUGAGCCGAUGUCGGAUUAGCUAGUUGGCGGGGUAAAGGCCCACCAAGGCGACGAUCCGUAGCUGGUCUGAGAGGAUGAUCAGCCACACUGGAACUGAGACACGGUCCAGACUCCUACGGGAGGCAGCAGUGGGGAAUAUUGGACAAUGGGCGCAAGCCUGAUCCAGCCAUACCGCGUGGGUGAAGAAGGCCUUCGGGUUGUAAAACCCUUUUGUUGGGAAAGAAAAGCAGCAGGUUAAUACCCCGCUGUUCUGACGGUACCCAAAGAAUAAGCACCGGCUAACUUCGUG